CAAGCCGAUGAUGAUGGGAUGAUCUCGUUCAUCCUGAACGGGCUUGACUACGACUAUAACUCGUUGGUGUCAUCUAUGAUGGGCCGCGCCAACAUGAACCUAAGCGAUCUAUACGCUCAAGUCAUUGCCUUUGACA
Molecule: small nucleolar RNA, 136 nt
Organism: Panicum hallii
Lineage: Eukaryota; Viridiplantae; Streptophyta; Magnoliopsida; Poales; Poaceae
Product: small nucleolar RNA Z247
Exons: 1
Source: RefSeq, a predicted model, not a curated record